GGGGGCGUAGUUUAAAUAAGGUAAAACGUCUAUCUUGCACAUAGUUAUCGCAGGUUCGAGUCCUACCGCCUCCA
RNAcentral lists this transfer RNA (74 nucleotides) under Usnea pennsylvanica. RNAcentral describes it as "tRNA-Ala". It matches the Rfam family "tRNA". From Rfam's summary of the family: Transfer RNA (tRNA) molecules are approximately 80 nucleotides in length. Their secondary structure includes four short double-helical elements and three loops (D, anti-codon, and T loops). The record is from RNAcentral. Lineage: Eukaryota; Fungi; Ascomycota; Lecanoromycetes; Lecanorales; Parmeliaceae.